This is a long non-coding RNA of Dromaius novaehollandiae (emu), 5349 nucleotides long. RefSeq lists it as uncharacterized. The record is from RefSeq and is a predicted model, not a curated record. The transcript has 5 exons. Lineage: Eukaryota; Metazoa; Chordata; Aves; Casuariiformes; Dromaiidae.
CAUAAUUCUGCAAAGAGGUUAUCCAGCAACUAUUGUAUUAGUGCUACUGGAGGUCAUUGCCUCAGUAUGCUGCCUUUGAAAUGGCUGCCAUAAAGAGAAACUUUAGCUGAAAACUAUUUCAAAAUAAUUUUCACACGGAACAAUGCAACACUCACAUCAUUUCCUGAAAGAAUUGAGUUGGAAGGCAAUUAUCUACUCACCAAACAGGCUAAAACAACAGUUCCUGAUAUUCUUCUCAAAUAUUUCAACUUCCCAGGAAUCCGGAAAAAAUAAUUCCAUGAGACGGUGUUAUGAAUGAAGGUAUGACAUUUCAGUUUCCUUCACUUAGAAUCAGACAUCCAGAGGUAAUAAAUUACUGUGCACUUGGCACGGCUGAGAGGGGGGUCUGGCUGUGGCAAAUUGUUUUUCUUCAGAACAGGAACAAUGAAGUGCUUUUACAUCCUUUUUUGUCCAGUGACAGGCAUGGUUUCUUUCUUAAUGGGCUCUCAGCAUCAGUUGCAUGAAUUACGUGUAUUAAAAACAGGAAUCUGACAGCAAAGUACCUUGAACCAAACUUGCUUAGAGAUAGGAAACUGUAAUAGAGAUGAGGGGUAAAAUAGUAUAUGAACUGCACUGCCACAGGAAGUUAACUUGAAAAAAAUGAGUAGUGAAAAAGCAUCUUUACCUCGUUCUUUUGUAUCUCAAGAGAAGCUACUUUUAGCAGCGUUAUCCUGCUCCCAUUUCUGUCAGUCUGAAAUGGCUAGCUACAACUGCUAUCCUUACUCAUUUUACAUAUUCUUUUUGGUUAGUGUGAAGGAAAGAAGAGUAAACGUACUGAGAAGCAUUCAGAUGAUGCUUUUGCAGGUACUUUAAGUGCGUAUUCAGUUUAUUCAUUAGUUAAUUCAUAUGUCAGUAGUUCUUAGAUGGGACUGUAAAUUUGGGUCAUUUUGUAGACAUACAGAAAAGUGAAAUGCUGCUCCUGGGAAGAGAGUUGACACUCUUGAUCUUGGAAGAGUUCACUAUUGGUAUUUAAUAACCAAGAAGAUUGAAAAUAUUUCUGAAGAAGCAUUUCUUUGGAUCAGAAGUGAAGCAUUUUGAUUACCGGUUCAGCCAGUAUUUAAAAGAAAAAAAUUUAAGAAAAAAAAAAUCUUUAAAAAAGUUGACUUUCUGGGGGCUGAUGUGUUGUCAACUGGUGUCUGGAUACAAGAGCAGACUUUCCCCAAUUAGCAGAUUGCGUGCCCUGUCUGGUUGGCCAACUUCACUGUUUAUGCGUCCUACACGUUACCGCAGUCGAGACUCAAAACAGUAAACGCCUCAGAACACCAAAAGUGCCAGAAGCCACCUUAUUUUUGUUGUUAUUUUGUGUAAUUAUACCUGGGAGGAUUGGAGAGUUCUAGCGCUUUUUUUCACUUUUUUUUUUCUUUUUUAUGACUUGUUUUUUUGCAUUUCAUAAACUCUUGGCAACGGGUACAACAGCUGCCUUUGCACUUACAGGAGAGGAGAUCGUCUAGGACAAGUAUACUUCCAGCAAUGAGUAGUCCCCUCUUUCAGCAUGCAGUGUGUCAGUGGUACGGUCAAGAAAAUGGGCAUCAGGUGUACGGCCUUCUCAUGUGUUGCGUGACCUCCCCUCAGGAGCUGUUUCCUGAGGGGCACAUUCACUUCUGUUUUUUGCCUUCUGUUAUUUAUGCUCUGUGCUAGACUUUGUAAUACUCACUGGUGCCCUCUGAGCGCUAACAUUCCUCUUUUACCCUCCUCAUCCCUGACUGUGCUCUCCCUCAAUAAGGAUAAAUCAGAGGUUGCCAGCUGAGUUCUUUUUUUUUUUAUUAUGAAAAGGUCAGCUUGUUUUACUUUAUGGUAGAAAGUCUAAGACUUUAAUGGAAAAGGUGGAUGUGGAGUUGUUUUCAUAGAGUUUAAGUAAGGUUAAGCAGAGUUCCCCCAAGGUUUGCACUAAUGCUGGCGCUAUUUAAUAUUUGAUUUGGAGAAAGGCGCAAACAGUGGGGUGGUAGAAUCAACAGAUGACAAAAAAUUACUCAGUCACAUUUAGAAAGGAUGAGAAGGAAAAGUAGAAGGACCUAACAAAGAGCAGGCAAUCUGACAUCAUGAUGGUGUCGUGAUCGCAGUGUAAUGUAAUUUAGAGAACAGUUUGGACUAUUCGUAUAUACUAGAUUUUAAAAUUACUGAAACCAUUCAGGAAAAAGAUAUGCAUGUUGCUGCAGAGAACUGAGUGAAAACAUCUCUUCAAUGUGCAGUGUUGGCUGUAAAGCAAAUGUGAGAAAUUAGGUAGUAUUAAGAGAAGAAUAGAAAGCAAUACUAAAUAUAAUACCAUGAUAUAAAAAGUGUAUACUUGCAUAGAAUACUAUGUCGUUUGUUACUUCAUCUCAGAAAGCAUAUCACGGAGAUGGGAAAAGAUCUAGGAAAGAAUGAUGAAAAUAAAUAGAAGCUUGGAGAAGCAUAUAUAUAAGAAGAGACCUUUAGAGAUUUAAUUUGGAAAGGGAGGAAUAAAAGUCUUUAAUAUAGUGAAUGGUUCAGAGAAGGUAACGUGUCUACUCACAUUUCUGUAUGAUUCAAGACAGAGAGAAAAAUGGGUUCUGUCCAUCUUACUUCUACUGAUGAAGGAAUUGUUUUUUACAUAACAUACAAUUGAUUUGUAGUCUAUACUACAGGUUGCUAUUGACUGACUAAUUCUUUCUAGGUGAAGCUCUCUGGGAAAAUUGCCCAUACUAAAUUUAAAGGACUCCACUUAGGAAACUUUCCUCUGGCUUUUUUAAGCAAAUAUCAUCAUAACCUUUCCUAACUUGAGUGCUAUGCUUUGCACACCACUUUCUUAUAUAGAUGAGGGCAUUUCGUUAGAUACUUAGCUUUAGGUAUGUUCUUUAUGUGGGUUUUAUUUAUGCAAACAGUAUCUUUCAUACCAUAUGCUUAUGUAACAAUCUGUCUAAUUCAUAGUUAGUUACAUAACUCAGGAAUGCAUUAAAUUAAGUUUUACAAAAUAUAUGCUGUUGCAUCCUUUUUUCUUUAAGAAGAGGUCCCCAUCCUAUUCAAGGCUGAUGUUUUUUCCAGAUAGAUACAGAUACAGAUGUAUUCCACAAAAUGCUUAAUGAGGAGAAUCAAUAUUGCUAGUCAUUUUUGAUUUAGUUUCAGAGUUAAACUUGUCACUGAAUAUUGGACAGGAAGAAGAACAAUCCGAGACAGUGUCGUUUGCUAAAAGUACCCUGUUGGAGAGACCAUCAUGAUAUGCAAGGAUGCUAAAAGCACCUCCAUGCCCAGGGAGAACUGCGCUGUGAGAACUGAGCAGAGCAGCUGGAGGCUUUUCAGCGAGCACUACCUUCACGCUGCUGCAGGCCGUGGGUGCCGGGGCAAGGCGAGAGACACUCCAGAGGCUGCCAAACUCCAGGCUGUGACAGGGUAUUUGGCAGCGAUCCCCAACCUCAUCUACUUGUCCAUGUGGUGCUCCUUCCAUUGUGGUGGUUGUUUUUCGUUGGGAUUAGUUCCUGGAUCAGCUUUACCAGAUUAUUGUACUGUAUUCUCACACCCAGCAACACAGAGUUUUCUCAAAGAGCUUGAGGGAGUCUGCCUACCAUUGCUGACAUUGGCAGCAUCACCACAUCUCAGCUUUGGGUGGAUACCACCAGUGAAUCUUCAGCUUGGACCCUGAGCCUCGUGCUUCUUCUCACCACUCCUAGUUAAGGGUUACUUCAUUUACGGCAGUAACAUUGGCUCAAAGAGGACUCUGAGCAGUCGAUUCAGCUUUCCCCAUGCUCUGUUUUAUCACAGAUUAAUUCAGACCUCACCCAAGAUGUGUGUCUGGUAGCUAUGCCAGGCAGUCGCUUUUCUUUUUUAACAAGUAAAGGACUAUAAAAGUUGUAUAACACUUAGAACUGUCUUCUCACUUCCUUUAUAUAGAGACAAACGCAGCUGUUUGUGGUUUCCCCCUCCUCCCCCCAGUACAUUAAUCUGCUAACACUCAGCAAAUGCACCUGGUAUAUGUUUCUGAGAAUGAGGAGCCAACAAUACUGUAUGUGCUCAGUGUACUGGUUUAAAAAGAACACCUGAUAUUUCAAAAUAACAUUCAAAAGUGGCAAAGGCAAAUAACCCUUCCUCCAACUACAAGCCAAACUGAGACCCACUCUAAUUUAAGCCAGGUCUGUAGGUUUUAGUGCGAUGUGUUCCCUAACAGAUCUAAAGAGAUCAGAGGUCUAGAGAUCUUACAGAUUUCUAAAUUUUCAACAAAUACAGCUGUUCCAAACUGUCUAUGGACAACCUCUCAUCCCCAAAAUGUGUUAAUAAUUAAACAUAUUUGUGAAAAAGCAAGUUUCUUUCUCGAUGCACAGGACACUGAAUUUUUCUGAGAGUGCAGUUUCAGACAUGGUGCAUGCACAGCACCUGGACUGACAGCAGUCUGUGGGAUGGCUUGUUCAUAAACUGUUCAGCAUUGGAAGGGCAGUGUUUUAGAGCAUUAAAAGGUGUUAAGUUUUUACCAUUGACUGUGCAGGGCUUAGCAGAAGAAUAACCUUUCAUUCCAUUAUUUUAACUUGCCAAGAAAUAUUGUAAUCAAGGAGACCAAAGCCCCAGCUGCAUUUCUGAUACUGGCCUUCAGCAAGUCACUGUGGUUCAGUAGUUCGUGAGCACCCAAGGAGGAGGGUUACAAAAUACAAGCUGUCUCCCUCAUCUCCGAAUAGAGGAGAUCCUGACUGCUAAGCCUGCACAUAGGCAGUACUCCUGAAAAUGCCCUUAGAGGGUAGGCCUGUUUCACCCAAGCUAGCAGGGUUGGCUGGAACUACACUCCGACACUACUAUGAUUUUCCUUCAGGUGUUGUCCUGGGACACCACCACAAAGGACUGUGUCUGCUGGAGCUUUUACUAGUCAGCCUACCUCCUUCCUCAGCCUGGGACUCAAUACACAGGCUUUAUCCUGUACCUCACUUUCCCAGGGCAUAAACGGAGAGAACAGUUUUCCCCCUUCUUGAAGCAGCUUUCAUUAAUCAACAUUUUAAAGUGUAUUAAAGAUUAGAAAUAAUCCGAGGGAACUAGGGUAGAAGGGAACUAGGUAAUGUUUAGUUUUAUCCUUUAUACAAAUAAAUUUAUGUGACCAGUCUUUGCUCGCUUGAAUAUUAACACUUCUGCUGUUAACCUGAAGAAGUGUUCCACUGAGGCCAAUUAAAUGAGCCUGGUAAUUAAAAAUACUCUAUUAAUUUAAGCACAUGUGCUUGUCUGAAAAUUUUUUAUUCAUAUAUAACUCUACCAAAUUUUCAUGUGAUCAUCUCUGGUAUUCACUAAUAUAAGGACUUUUGUGUCAUUUGUAAAUUGUGCCUUCUUAGAAUUCCUUUUUUUCAGAUCAUUAAUUUAAAAUUCAGGUCUUGAGCCUUUGGA